AAAAGACUUAGUCCUAACCUUGCUGUUAACUAGUGCUAAACAUAUACAUGCAAGUAUCCGCGCCCCAGUGUAAAUGCCCUUAAUUUCUUACCAAGAUGACAGGAGCAGGCAUCAGGCACACUUACUCAAUGUAGCCCAAGACGCCUUGCUUAGCCACACCCCCACGGGUACUCAGCAGUAAUUAACAUUAAGCAAUGAGUGUAAACUUGACUUAGCUAUAGCACUCACCCAGGGUUGGUAAAUCUUGUGCCAGCCACCGCGGUCAUACAAGAAACCCAAGCUAACAGCACACGGCGUAAAGAGCGGGUUCUUACCUAUCUAAAUAAUUAGGAUUAAAUCGCAACUAAGCUGUCAUACGCCCAAGAUGCGUCUAAAUCUACCCUUAAAAUGAUCCUAACCCUCCCGAUCAACUAACCCCCGCGAAAGCCAGGGCUCAAACUGGGAUUAGAUACCCCACUAUGCCUGGCCCUAAAUCUUGAUACUUACUUUACAAAAGUAUCCGCCCGAGAACUACGAGCACAAACGCUUAAAACUCUAAGGACUUGGCGGUGCCCCAAACCCACCUAGAGGAGCCUGUUCUAUAAUCGAUAAUCCACGCUACACCCAACCACCCCUCGCCCAAGCAGCCUACAUACCGCCGUCGCCAGCCCACCUCCUCUGAGAGCUCAACAGUGGGCCCAAUAGCCUCACCCGCUAAAAAGACAGGUCAAGGUAUAGCCUACGGAGUGGAAGAAAUGGGCUACAUUUUCUAAGAUAGAAAAUCUAUACGAAAGAAGGCAUGAAAUAGCCUCCGGAAGGCGGAUUUAGCAGUAAAAUGGGAUAAUAAAGCCCUAUUUAAGCUGGCCCUGAGGCACGUACAUACCGCCCGUCACCCUCCUCGUAGGCCAUAAACCCCAUAACUAAUAGCCUAUACUGCCAAAGAUGAGGUAAGUCGUAACAAGGUAAGUGUACCGGAAGGUGCACUUAGCAUACC
Molecule: non-coding RNA, 973 nt
Filed under: Astur gentilis (Northern goshawk)
Lineage: Eukaryota; Metazoa; Chordata; Aves; Accipitriformes; Accipitridae
Description: Accipiter gentilis (Northern goshawk) 12S ribosomal RNA
Rfam family: Bacterial small subunit ribosomal RNA
Source: RNAcentral